AAUUUAAUUAUUUAUUGGAGAGACAAGAAUUUUUUUUUAUAUAUAUUUGAAUGUUGAAUUCUGAAGUUUUAGAUAAUCUAUGAAUUCUGAAGUAAAUAAUUUUGUCUCACCUCUGUGUUGAUACGUUAUAAACGCACCAUUGAUAAGCUUCCAACACAAACCAACAUCAAACUACAUCGAUGUAUCACUUCUUCACACACAAUACUCUCGAUUAGAGAAGAUCAAUAUUGAAAAAAUCAAAAGAGAAUAUAGAGACUAGAAUCUUCAGCACCAUCUUUAGAUUCUACUUUUCCCAAGUAGUUUCGUAAAAGAUAUAAUCAAAUAUUGUAUAGUUUAGUGUAUUUA
Molecule: small RNA, 345 nt
Filed under: Arabidopsis thaliana (thale cress)
Lineage: Eukaryota; Viridiplantae; Streptophyta; Magnoliopsida; Brassicales; Brassicaceae
Description: ATSL251840
Source: RNAcentral